This 1289-nucleotide ribosomal RNA is filed under the name Calvisia medogensis. RNAcentral describes it as "16S ribosomal RNA". The stretch from base 1046 to 1205 matches the Rfam family "Archaeal large subunit ribosomal RNA", at positions 2542 to 2701 of the family's 2987-position model. The record is from RNAcentral. Lineage: Eukaryota; Metazoa; Arthropoda; Insecta; Phasmatodea; Lonchodidae.
AUAUUAUAAUAUUAUUUUUAAUAAUUUUGGUUUUAUUAUUAAUUUGAGUUAAAUUAUUUAUUUAAUGUUUUAGUAUUUAAUUUGAAUAAAUUUUUUAUAUGAUAGUUUAUUUUUACUGUUAAGGAUUUAUUUUUAUUAUUGUUUAAGUAAAAUUAUUUUUGUACCUUUUGUAUCAGGGUGAAUUUAUUAUAUUUUAUUUAUUUAUUUUUCUCGAAUUAAUUUGAUCUAAUUGAUUAUGUAAGUUGUCGUUGUAUAUUUAUUUAUUAUAAUUUAUUAGUUGUGAAAUGUUAUUCAUAAAUUUUGAUAUCUAGUUUUUUAAUAAAUGAAUUUAAUUCAGUUAUUUUUAUUUAUAUUUUUAAUUAAUUAAUUAUAUAUUUUUUAAUAAUAAUAUGCUGGGGGAUUAGCUCUGGUUUAAUUUUAAAAUUUCUUUUAUUUUAUGUUAUGUAGGAUUUAUAUUAUCUAUCAUUAUUUAGUAUUUUAUAAUUUAAUAUUUUUUUAUUUUUUUUUAAUUAUUUUAUUUAAUAAUUUAUUGAAUAAUUUUUUUUUAAUUAAUAAUUAAUUGUUAUAAUGAUUUAAUUAGUAUAAUUUUAUUUAAUUGUUUAUUUUUUGUUAAAUAUUUAUAAGGAAUUAGGCAAAUUUAUAUAUUCGCCUGUUUAUCAAAAACAUCUUUUCUUGUUAUUUAUUUGAGAUUUGACCUGCCCAAUGAAAUUUUAAUGGCCGCAGUAUUUUGACUGUGCAAAGGUAGCAUAAUCAUUAGUUUAUUAAUUGUGGACUUGUAUGAAUGGUUGGACGAAAUAUUGACUGUCUCAUUUUUAAAAUUAAAAUUUAAAUUUUUUGUUAAAAUGCUUAAAUUUUUUUAUAGGACGAGAAGACCCUAUAGAUCUUUAUUUUAUUAGGUUUUAAAUUGUUUAGUUUAUUUUUUUUAUAAAAUUUAUUAAUGUUUUGUUGGGGUGAUAUGGAGAUAUAAUUAACUCUUUAUAUAUUUAUACAUUGAUUUUUGUUUAAUUGACCUUUAAUUUUUGUUAUAAGAUUUAGAUACCUUAGGGAUAACAGCGUAAUUUUUUUUGAGAGUUCAUAUCGACGAAAAAGAUUGCGACCUCGAUGUUGGAUUAAGAUAAUUAUUGGGUGUAGUUGCUCAUUUAAAUAAGUCUGUUCGACUUUUAAAUUCUUACAUGAUCUGAGUUCAGACCGGCGUAAGCCAGGUUGGUUUCUAUCCUUAAAUUUUUUAAUUAUAUUAGUACGAAAGGACCAUAUAAUUUAAAUAAUUUGUUUUAUUUGAUUAUGAAUUA